GACGAACGCUGGCGGCGUGCCUAAUACAUGCAAGUCGAACGCUUUACUUUUCACCGGAGCUUGCUCUACCGAAAAGUAAAGAGUGGCGGACGGGUGAGUAACACGUGGGCAACCUGCCCAACAGAGGGGGAUAACACUUGGAAACAGGUGCUAAUACCGCAUAACUUGUUUUCCCGCAUGGGAGAAUAAUAAAAGACGCCUUACGGUGUCACUGUUGGAUGGGCCCGCGCUGCAUUAGUUAGUUGGU
Molecule: ribosomal RNA, 247 nt
Filed under: uncultured bacterium
Lineage: Bacteria
Description: partial 16S ribosomal RNA
Rfam family: Bacterial small subunit ribosomal RNA
Source: RNAcentral